Non-coding RNA from Arthromyces matolae, 81 nucleotides. Lineage: Eukaryota; Fungi; Basidiomycota; Agaricomycetes; Agaricales; Lyophyllaceae. The record is from the annotation of a GenBank genome assembly.
GGUUGAAUGGUCUAGUGGUUAUGAUUUCUGUCUCACAUUGAUGGUCACAGAAGGUCUCCAGUUCGAUCCUGGAUUCAACCA